CUUCAACAUUCUUUUGAGCCUAUGGUCAAAUACUUAUAAGCCAUACUUUUAUAAAAAAUACAGUUAUCCCAUACAGCUUGAUAAACCUUGCAUGGGCUUAACUGUAAUAGAUCUACAAUAUAUAGUAAGUUAUGAGCUUGUUUUUUCAUCCAUCUCUUAUAAAUAGUUUCAGCUCUCUUAUUUUCAAACACAUUUGAGUUUGGUAAUGAACUUGACAUGCAUAUAUACCAUGGCUAGUAGGUGGAUUGCAUUGAAUAACUUGACAUAGUUCUAUAUAAGUUGUUUGUUAGUAUAAUGUAUGUGAUUUAUGGGUAAACAGUAAUGCACUAGAAUGAAAUUACCCUGAUACUUCUAAAAUUGCAACACAAUUGUGUUUAUUUACAUGCAGCACACCUCUCUAUUGGUUCCCAUGAUUAUCCUCUAGGUCAUAUUGCUAUCAAUUGGCAAACUUAGCAUUUCAGAAUGAACCACUUUAUGGUUUCAGUAAUUUGGUCUAUUGAAGAAAUUUUAUUGUUAUAAGGCUUAAUAUUAGAUCUUAUUUCACUUUUAAUCUUAUUUCAUUGAACUUUAGAAAAAAGGGUAUAAUUGAUUUUUAU
This 596-nucleotide long non-coding RNA is filed under the name Mytilus galloprovincialis (Mediterranean mussel). The record is from RNAcentral. Lineage: Eukaryota; Metazoa; Mollusca; Bivalvia; Mytilida; Mytilidae.